Molecule: non-coding RNA, 28 nt
Filed under: unclassified sequences
Description: L19-Flavobacteria ribosomal protein leader
Rfam family: L19-Flavobacteria ribosomal protein leader
Source: RNAcentral
UAACCUCUGACGAGAAUCGUGAAAGUUA